GGACCCGCACAAGUAGUGGAGCAUGUGGUUUAAUUCGAAGAUACGCGCAGAACCUUACCAACACUUGACAUGUUCGUCGCGACUUUAAGAGAUUAAAGUUUUCGGUUCGGCCGGACGAAACACAGGUGCUGCAUGGCUGUCGUCAGCUCGUGUCGUGAGAUGUUGGUUAAGUCCCGCAACGAGCGCAACCCUCACUUUUAGUUGCCAUCAUUUAGUUGGGCACUCUGAAAGAACUGCCAGUGAUAAGCUGGAGGAAGGUGGGGAUGACGUCAAGUCCUCAUGGCCCUUACGUGUUGGGCUACACACGUGCUACAAUGGUAUUUUACAACAGGAAGCAAGACGGCGACGUUUAGCAA
Molecule: ribosomal RNA, 356 nt
Filed under: uncultured bacterium
Lineage: Bacteria
Description: bacterial SSU rRNA
Rfam family: Bacterial small subunit ribosomal RNA
Source: RNAcentral